Molecule: ribosomal RNA, 2747 nt
Filed under: Escherichia coli 7-233-03_S3_C1
Lineage: Bacteria; Pseudomonadati; Pseudomonadota; Gammaproteobacteria; Enterobacterales; Enterobacteriaceae
Description: bacterial LSU rRNA
Rfam family: Bacterial large subunit ribosomal RNA
Source: RNAcentral
UCAGAGGCGAUGAAGGACGUGCUAAUCUGCGAUAAGCGUCGGUAAGGUGAUAUGAACCGUUAUAACCGGCGAUUUCCGAAUGGGGAAACCCAGUGUGUUUCGACACACUAUCAUUAACUGAAUCCAUAGGUUAAUGAGGCGAACCGGGGGAACUGAAACAUCUAAGUACCCCGAGGAAAAGAAAUCAACCGAGAUUCCCCCAGUAGCGGCGAGCGAACGGGGAGCAGCCCAGAGCCUGAAUCAGUGUGUGUGUUAGUGGAAGCGUCUGGAAAGGCGCGCGAUACAGGGUGACAGCCCCGUACACAAAAAUGCACAUGCUGUGAGCUCGAUGAGUAGGGCGGGACACGUGGUAUCCUGUCUGAAUAUGGGGGGACCAUCCUCCAAGGCUAAAUACUCCUGACUGACCGAUAGUGAACCAGUACCGUGAGGGAAAGGCGAAAAGAACCCCGGCGAGGGGAGUGAAAAAGAACCUGAAACCGUGUACGUACAAGCAGUGGGAGCACGCUUAGGCGUGUGACUGCGUACCUUUUGUAUAAUGGGUCAGCGACUUAUAUUCUGUAGCAAGGUUAACCGAAUAGGGGAGCCGAAGGGAAACCGAGUCUUAACUGGGCGUUAAGUUGCAGGGUAUAGACCCGAAACCCGGUGAUCUAGCCAUGGGCAGGUUGAAGGUUGGGUAACACUAACUGGAGGACCGAACCGACUAAUGUUGAAAAAUUAGCGGAUGACUUGUGGCUGGGGGGGAAAGGCCAAUCAAACCGGGAGAUAGCUGGUUCUCCCCGAAAGCUAUUUAGGUAGCGCCUCGUGAAUUCAUCUCCGGGGGUAGAGCACUGUUUCGGCAAGGGGGUCAUCCCGACUUACCAACCCGAUGCAAACUGCGAAUACCGGAGAAUGUUAUCACGGGAGACACACGGCGGGUGCUAACGUCCGUCGUGAAGAGGGAAACAACCCAGACCGCCAGCUAAGGUCCCAAAGUCAUGGUUAAGUGGGAAACGAUGUGGGAAGGCCCAGACAGCCAGGAUGUUGGCUUAGAAGCAGCCAUCAUUUAAAGAAAGCGUAAUAGCUCACUGGUCGAGUCGGCCUGCGCGGAAGAUGUAACGGGGCUAAACCAUGCACCGAAGCUGCGGCAGCGACGCUGAUGCGUUGUUGGGUAGGGGAGCGUUCUGUAAGCCUGCGAAGGUGUGCUGUGAGGCAUGCUGGAGGUAUCAGAAGUGCGAAUGCUGACAUAAGUAACGAUAAAGCGGGUGAAAAGCCCGCUCGCCGGAAGACCAAGGGUUCCUGUCCAACGUUAAUCGGGGCAGGGUGAGUCGACCCCUAAGGCGAGGCCGAAAGGCGUAGUCGAUGGGAAACAGGUUAAUAUUCCUGUACUUGGUGUUACUGCGAAGGGGGGACGGAGAAGGCUAUGUUGGCCGGGCGACGGUUGUCCCGGUUUAAGCGUGUAGGCUGGUUUUCCAGGCAAAUCCGGAAAAUCAAGGCUGAGGCGUGAUGACGAGGCACUACGGUGCUGAAGCAACAAAUGCCCUGCUUCCAGGAAAAGCCUCUAAGCAUCAGGUAACAUCAAAUCGUACCCCAAACCGACACAGGUGGUCAGGUAGAGAAUACCAAGGCGCUUGAGAGAACUCGGGUGAAGGAACUAGGCAAAAUGGUGCCGUAACUUCGGGAGAAGGCACGCUGAUAUGUAGGUGAAGUCCCUUGCGGAUGGAGCUGAAAUCAGUCGAAGAUACCAGCUGGCUGCAACUGUUUAUUAAAAACACAGCACUGUGCAAACACGAAAGUGGACGUAUACGGUGUGACGCCUGCCCGGUGCCGGAAGGUUAAUUGAUGGGGUUAGCGCAAGCGAAGCUCUUGAUCGAAGCCCCGGUAAACGGCGGCCGUAACUAUAACGGUCCUAAGGUAGCGAAAUUCCUUGUCGGGUAAGUUCCGACCUGCACGAAUGGCGUAAUGAUGGCCAGGCUGUCUCCACCCGAGACUCAGUGAAAUUGAACUCGCUGUGAAGAUGCAGUGUACCCGCGGCAAGACGGAAAGACCCCGUGAACCUUUACUAUAGCUUGACACUGAACAUUGAGCCUUGAUGUGUAGGAUAGGUGGGAGGCUUUGAAGUGUGGACGCCAGUCUGCAUGGAGCCGACCUUGAAAUACCACCCUUUAAUGUUUGAUGUUCUAACGUUGACCCGUAAUCCGGGUUGCGGACAGUGUCUGGUGGGUAGUUUGACUGGGGCGGUCUCCUCCUAAAGAGUAACGGAGGAGCACGAAGGUUGGCUAAUCCUGGUCGGACAUCAGGAGGUUAGUGCAAUGGCAUAAGCCAGCUUGACUGCGAGCGUGACGGCGCGAGCAGGUGCGAAAGCAGGUCAUAGUGAUCCGGUGGUUCUGAAUGGAAGGGCCAUCGCUCAACGGAUAAAAGGUACUCCGGGGAUAACAGGCUGAUACCGCCCAAGAGUUCAUAUCGACGGCGGUGUUUGGCACCUCGAUGUCGGCUCAUCACAUCCUGGGGCUGAAGUAGGUCCCAAGGGUAUGGCUGUUCGCCAUUUAAAGUGGUACGCGAGCUGGGUUUAGAACGUCGUGAGACAGUUCGGUCCCUAUCUGCCGUGGGCGCUGGAGAACUGAGGGGGGCUGCUCCUAGUACGAGAGGACCGGAGUGGACGCAUCACUGGUGUUCGGGUUGUCAUGCCAAUGGCACUGCCCGGUAGCUAAAUGCGGAAGAGAUAAGUGCUGAAAGCAUCUAAGCACGAAACUUGCCCCGAGAUGAGUUCU